GUGAAGAACGUAGCGAAAUGCGAUAAGUAGUGUGAAUUGCAGAAUUCAGUGAAUCAUCGAAUCUUUGAACGCACAUUGCGCCCCUUGGUAUUCCAUGGGGCAUGCCUGUUCGAGCGUCAUUUGUACCUUCAAGCUUUGCUUGGUGUUGGGUGUUUGUCUCGCCUUUGCGUGUAGACUCGCCUUAAAAUAAUUGGCAGCCGGCGUAUUGAUUUCGGAGCGCAGUACAUCUCGCGCUUUGCACUCAUAACGACAGCGUCCAAAAGUACAUUUUACACUCUUGACCUCGGAUCAGGUAGGGAUACCCGCUGAACUUAAGCAUAUCAAUAAGCGGAGGA
This 335-nucleotide unclassified non-coding RNA is filed under the name soil metagenome. RNAcentral describes it as "partial contains 5.8S ribosomal RNA, internal transcribed spacer 2, and large subunit ribosomal RNA". The stretch from base 2 to 119 matches the Rfam family "5.8S ribosomal RNA", at positions 37 to 154 of the family's 154-position model. The record is from RNAcentral.